Molecule: RNA transcript, 738 nt
Organism: Pieris napi
Lineage: Eukaryota; Metazoa; Arthropoda; Insecta; Lepidoptera; Pieridae
Exons: 4
Source: RefSeq, a predicted model, not a curated record
CGUGAAGUUGAUACAAUGAGUCGUGGACGUGAAAAUACAAGAUAGCCUCCUAUUGACUUUGCGCAGACAUUUCAAUGUUAUUUUCAAGCUCCAGGCAGAAUAUUAAAUUUCCAUUUUCAUUUUUCUCACUUACUAUAUAAGAUGAGGUUGACAAGAGUUAAUUAGUAAGUUUGAGGACUGGUAGCAAAUACAGCGAAACGUACGAAGGAUGGCUCUUCUGAAAUUGUAUUUUUACUCAUUAACAGCUCUGCUGGCCGUAAAUUUAAUUUUAGCGGACAAUUCCAACGAAACUGAACAACAGGAAAAGGCUAGUUUGUUUCCUGGCAAUUUUAACCCACUUGAUUUCUUCGGUCAGUUUUUACCAUUCUUCGGGAACCGACAAACUAGAGAUGUGAGUAAUCAGAAGGACCAGGAAGGCCAGGAAAACCAGGAAAACCAGGAAACUACCAGCGAAAGUUCCAAUCAACGAUUGACUGUCGCUAGUGCUAUAGUGACUUGUAACUACACAGCAACACCUGGCUUGUCCUGUGUGGGCUGUUAUCAAGCGCUGUCAUGCGGCUCUGGCAACAUUGGCAGACAGAGGCGUUGCUUGCUGUACUGCAACAGUGGUAGAUGUUCGCUCGUCCCUGGAGCGCAAUGCUUAAACGCUACAGCUGCUGGCUAAACAUAUUGAUAAGUUUCGGCACGUGACUUGACCAGAUUAUUUGUAUGGAUGGACUUUCUUCAUGUAAAACUCAC